This 484-nucleotide ribosomal RNA is filed under the name uncultured bacterium. RNAcentral's name for it is "partial 16S ribosomal RNA". It matches the Rfam family "Bacterial small subunit ribosomal RNA", at positions 30 to 507 of the family's 1533-position model. The record is from RNAcentral.
AUUGAACGCUGGCGGCAGGCCUAACACAUGCAAGUCGAGCGGAUGAAGGGAGCUUGCUCCUGGAUUCAGCGGCGGACGGGUGAGUAAUGCCUAGGAAUCUGCCUGGUAGUGGGGGAUAACGUCCGGAAACGGGCGCUAAUACCGCAUACGUCCUGAGGGAGAAAGUGGGGGAUCUUCGGACCUCACGCUAUCAGAUGAGCCUAGGUCGGAUUAGCUAGUUGGUGGGGUAAAGGCCUACCAAGGCGACGAUCCGUAACUGGUCUGAGAGGAUGAUCAGUCACACUGGAACUGAGACACGGUCCAGACUCCUACGGGAGGCAGCAGUGGGGAAUAUUGGACAAUGGGCGAACGCCUGAUCCAGCCAUGCCGCGUGUGUGAAGAAGGUCUUCGGAUUGUAAAGCACUUUAAGUUGGGAGGAAGGGCAGUAAGUUAAUACCUUGCUGUUUUGACGUUACCAACAGAAUAAGCACCGGCUAACUUCGUG